GGGGAAUUUUCCGCAAUGGGCGAGAUCCUGACGGAGCAACGCCGCGUGAGGGAGGAAGGCCUGUGGGUUGUAAACCUCUUUUCUCAAGGAAGAAGUUCUGACGGUACUUGAGGAAUCAGCAUCGGCUAACUCCGUGCCAGCAGCCGCGGUAAGACGGAGGAUGCAAGCGUUAUCCGGAAUUAUUGGGCGUAAAGCGUCCGUAGGCGGUUUCAAAAGUCUGUUGUUAAAUCCCACAGCUCAACUGUGGAUCGGCAAUGGAAACUGUGAGACUAGAGAGUGGUAGGGGUAGAGGGAAUUCCUAGUGUAGCGGUGAAAUGCGUAGAUAUUAGGAAGAACACCAGUGGCGAAGGCGCUCUACUGGGCCAUUACUGACGCUGAUGGACGAAAGCUAGGGGAGCGAAAGGGAUUAGAUACCCCUGUAGUCCUAGCUGUAAACGAUGGAUACUAGGUGUUGGCCGUAUCGACCCGGUCAGUAUCGAAGCAAACGCGUUAAGUAUCCC
Molecule: ribosomal RNA, 500 nt
Filed under: uncultured cyanobacterium
Lineage: Bacteria; Bacillati; Cyanobacteriota
Description: bacterial SSU rRNA
Rfam family: Bacterial small subunit ribosomal RNA
Source: RNAcentral